UUCCUCGUGGCCCAAUGGUCACGGCGUCUGGCUACGAUUUCUUAGUCACUUCUGAAACCAGAAGAUUCCAGGUUCGAGUCCUGGCGGGGAAG
Molecule: transfer RNA, 92 nt
Organism: Eremothecium cymbalariae DBVPG#7215
Lineage: Eukaryota; Fungi; Ascomycota; Saccharomycetes; Saccharomycetales; Saccharomycetaceae
Rfam family: tRNA
About the family: Transfer RNA (tRNA) molecules are approximately 80 nucleotides in length. Their secondary structure includes four short double-helical elements and three loops (D, anti-codon, and T loops).
Source: Rfam